Molecule: ribosomal RNA, 253 nt
Filed under: uncultured bacterium
Lineage: Bacteria
Description: partial 16S ribosomal RNA
Rfam family: Bacterial small subunit ribosomal RNA
Source: RNAcentral
UACGUAGGGGGCAAGCGUUGUCCGGAAUCAUUGGGCGUAAAGAGCGUGUAGGCGGCCCGAUAAGUCCGCUGUGAAAGUCCAGGGCUCAACCCUGGGAUGCCGGUGGAUACUGUCGGGCUCGAGUCCGGAAGAGGCGAGUGGAAUUCCUGGUGUAGCGGUGAAAUGCGCAGAUAUCAGGAGGAACACCAAUGGCGAAGGCAGCUCGCUGGGACGUGACUGACGCUGAGACGCGAGAGCGUGGGGAGCAAACAGG